Molecule: ribosomal RNA, 407 nt
Filed under: uncultured bacterium
Lineage: Bacteria
Description: partial 16S ribosomal RNA
Rfam family: Bacterial small subunit ribosomal RNA
Source: RNAcentral
AUUGAACGCUGGCGGCAGGCCUAACACAUGCAAGUCGAGCGGAGCGGCGGACGGGUGAUUAAUGCCUAGGAAUCUGCCUGGUAGUGGGGGAUAACGUCCGGAAAUGGGCGCUAAUACCGCAUAAUAACAGUUGAGCCUCGGGCGGAUUAGCUAGGAGGUGGGGUAAAUGCCUACCAAGGCGACGAUCCGUAACUGGUCUGAGAGGCUGAUCAGGCACACUGGAACUGAGACACGGUCCAGACUCCUACGGUAGGCAGCAGUGGGGAAUAUUGGACAAUGGGCGAAAGCCUGAUCCAGCCAUGCGGCGGGUGUGAAGAAGGUCUUCGGAUUGUAAAGCACUUGAAGUUGGGAGGCGUUACCAACAGAAUAAGCACCGGCUAACUUCGUGCCAGCAGCCGCGGUAAUUC